Molecule: ribosomal RNA, 538 nt
Filed under: Tricholoma olivaceotinctum
Lineage: Eukaryota; Fungi; Basidiomycota; Agaricomycetes; Agaricales; Tricholomataceae
Description: eukaryotic LSU rRNA
Rfam family: 5.8S ribosomal RNA (bases 245-398)
Source: RNAcentral
CAUUAUUGAAUAAGCUUGGUUGGGUUGUUGCUGGCUCUUCGGAGCAUGUGCACGCCUAACACCAACCUUUUACCACCUGUGCACCUUUUGUAGACUUGGAUACCUCUCGAGGCAACUCGGUUUGAGGACUGCUGUGCCAACAAAAAGGUCGGCUUUCCUUACAUUUCCAAGUCUAUGUUUUUAUAUACCCCAAGUAUGUCUAAGAAUGUUAUUAAUGGGCUUAAUUGCCUUUAAAAACCUAUACAACUUUCAACAACGGAUCUCUUGGCUCUCGCAUCGAUGAAGAACGCAGCGAAAUGCGAUAAGUAAUGUGAAUUGCAGAAUUCAGUGAAUCAUCGAAUCUUUGAACGCACCUUGCGCUCCUUGGUAUUCCGAGGAGCAUGCCUGUUUGAGUGUCAUGAAAUUCUCAACCUUUUCAGCUUUUUUGGUUGAUCAGGCUUGGAUGUUGGGAGUUUGCGGGCUUCUCAGAAGUCGGCUCUCCUUAAAUGCAUUAGCGGGACCUUUGUUGCCUAGCUUUGGUGUGAUAAUUAUCUACGCC